GAUGAACGCUGGCGGCGUGCCUAAUACAUGCAAGUCGAACGCAUAUGCUGGAGCUUGCUCUUGUUGCUGAGUUGCGAACGGGUGAGUAAAGCGUUGGUAACCUGCCUGGUAGCGGGGGAAACCUCUUGGAAACGAUAUCUAAAACAGCUUCUAAAAACUUAUAGUAUCAUAUCCGUUUAAGAGGAGGAACUGAUGCACUACCUGAUGGACCUGCGGUGUAUUAGCUAGUUCGUGAGGUAACGGCUCACCAAGGCUGCGAUGCAUAGCCGACCUGAGAGGGUGAUCGGCCACACUGGGACUGAGACACGGCCCAGACUCCUACGGGAGGCAGCAGUAGGGAAUCUUCGGCAAUGGACGGAAGUCUGACCGAGCAACGCCGCGUGAGUGAAGAAGGUUUUCGGAUCGUAAAACUCUGUUGUUAGAGAAGAACAAGUGUGAGAGUGGAAAGUUCACACUUUGACGGUAUCUAACCAGAAAGCCACGGCUAACUACGUG
RNAcentral lists this ribosomal RNA (495 nucleotides) under uncultured bacterium. Its description in RNAcentral is "partial 16S ribosomal RNA". It matches the Rfam family "Bacterial small subunit ribosomal RNA", at positions 28 to 507 of the family's 1533-position model. The record is from RNAcentral.